Molecule: ribosomal RNA, 353 nt
Filed under: uncultured Methanosaeta sp.
Lineage: Archaea; Methanobacteriati; Methanobacteriota; Methanomicrobia; Methanotrichales; Methanotrichaceae
Description: bacterial SSU rRNA
Rfam family: Archaeal small subunit ribosomal RNA
Source: RNAcentral
AACCUUAGGACUGGGAUAACCCCGGGAAACUGGGUAUAAUCCCCGAUAGAUCUCGGUCGCUGGAAAGCUCCGAGAUCGAAAGCUCCGGCGCCAGAGGAUGGGUCUGCGGCCUAUCAGGUAGUAGUGGGUGUAGCGUACCUACUAGCCUACGACGGGUACGGGUUGUGAGAGCAAGAGCCCGGAGAUGGAUUCUGAGACACGAAUCCAGGCCCUACGGGGUGCAGCAGGCGCGAAAACUUUACAAUGCCGGCAACGGCGAUAAGGGGACCUCGAGUGCCAGGUUACAAAUCUGGCUGUCGUGAUGCCUAAAAAGCAUUGCAUAGCAAGGGCCGGGCAAGACCGGUGCCAGCCGC